Medicago truncatula (barrel medic) is the source of this 3315-nucleotide long non-coding RNA. RefSeq lists it as uncharacterized. The record is from RefSeq and is a predicted model, not a curated record. The transcript is spliced from 2 exons. Lineage: Eukaryota; Viridiplantae; Streptophyta; Magnoliopsida; Fabales; Fabaceae.
UGCACAUGGGAUUGGACUACUGGCGGAUGUUAAUCUGCUAGUAAUGUUCAACCAGUUUAAAAAAAUCUGCCACUACCCCUUUAUUUCCGCCAAUACCCCAAUUAAUUUAACUUAUAAUUAAAAAAAAAUUACAAAAUUAUAAGAAAAUGAAAACAAGCAGAAACUAAAACCACAAUCAUUUACGCAUCUGGGCUUCUUUCAUCUCAUUUCGGAAGAAAGGGUUUUUCUCCAUCUCAAUCGUGUUCACUUGAUCUUGUUUGAUGUUCAAUCGUUCCUCUCUCUUUUGCUCAAUCGUUCUCGUUUUCCCAUCAUCUAGGUUAGCUCAUUUGUUCCUCUUUCUAUUACUCGAGGAAGAAGAUGAAGAGCUCGUGUUGAAGAAGUACUAAGGGCAGAAGAAUGACAGUUUAGAGCUUUGGUGAACCCACACACUUCAUCAAAAUCUUGAGGAUAUAUACUAAUUGAUUUAGCAAUAACCUUAUUGGAGUAGUUGGAAGCAUCAAAUUCAAAUGGAAGUGAGUUUGGAGCUAAAUGUCAAGUGAUUGUGGAAUUGGGGAAAACUUGAAAAGCAUCAAAGUUCAUUGAAUUCUUAUGAGUUCGAAAACGAUUGAGGUAUUAUAGAGUAGAAAUUAUGAUUCAUAAUCGUUUAAAGAGAGUAGAAAUUUAACUAUAAAUUUAAUUAGUAAAUUAUGAGUGGUGUUGGAAUCCUAGAGAAUGCUAGUCUUGUUGAGGUUGGGGUUUUGGAUUCUUAGGGGCGGUUUAAUCUCUAUUGUUUCUGCAGUGUUAGUUUAAUUGUCUGUGGUGCUGUUAUGCUAUAAUUCCUACUAUUGUGGUUUGUUUUCUUUAGCAUGGCAGGUGGUUUUUUAGGUGCAUGCUUGGGAUGCCUUUAUGUCCCUUGAAAUCUCGAGUUCUUUCCACUUUCUGUUGGGUUGUUUGUUCACUUUCUUGAAUAUAGUUAGCGGUUCAAAAAACAAAAAUCAGUAAAGUCUGAAUAGUUGUGUAUCAUAUGCCUCUAAAUAAAGCCUUAAUUUCCCUUGUUGUGUUUGACUGUUAAGCCACGGAUUUAUUCACUGAUAUAAUUGAUAUAGUAGUCCUAUUUUUUGAGGUAGUUGUGUUCUAGUGCACAAGUUUAUGGCUUCAUAAUUUUGGCCUAUAUGUUCUAGUGCACAAGUUUAUGGCUUCAUGAUUUUGGCCUAUAUUUAUCAUGCAUGUACUAGCUGUAGGAUACACAUAGCAUAUAUGAGCUUAAGUCCUAAUUCCAUUACUUAUGUUUUAAGAAUUAUAUGAUGCUAGUUUCAUCUCUACUACUGUGUGCAUCAGAUUGUUGAACUUUAUGGUGUGUGGGAUUAAAGUUAUGAUUUUAAUAUGAUUAUAUACUAUGGUUGACUUAGUGGCGGAUAAAAAGAGAAUGUGUGCCUUAGUGGCGGAGUAAAUAAACUAUGUUUGCCUUAGUGGCGGAUUAAAUAAAUUAUGUUUGCUUUAGUGGCGGUUAAAAAUUGCGUGUGCCUUAGUGGCGGGUUAAAUAAUUAUGUGUGCCUUAGUGGCGGGUUAAAUAAUUAUGUUUGGAAAGAAAAAAAAAAGGGGGCAGUAUUUUUCUUAUAAGAAAUAUAUGAAAUGUUUUGACCAAAAAUACAGGAUGUUACAAAAAGCAUCAAAGUUCAUUGAAUUCUUAUGCGUUCGUAAACGAUUGAGGUUGGCUCUCUCUCUCCUAGGCUUGAAUUUAAUUAGUUUGGCUUGAAAUAUUUAUGUGAGAUCAAUGUGUAUUGUGAUUAGUAUGAGAAAAUUAGGUUUUAAUGAAAAUUCUCAUGUCAAAUUAGCUUAAUUCAAAAACUAGCUUAUUUGUGUAGCAGCAAGUUUUCAUUACAUAGAAAUGAUGAUUAUGAAUUUGUGCCCGCCCAUUAUAUAGGAGUUAGUAUUAUAAGUAGUCAUGCUAACCUUUUUACACACACAAAUAGUAUGAGAACAUAACUGAUGGCCUUCAUAAUCUCUAUGUACAUUUGGGUUGUUGGUCAAAUUAAGCGACCUCGAAGAAACUAAGACAUGGUUUUUGGUUAAUUUGAAAUGCUAUGAUUUGGGUAAUUUGGAAGGGGAGGAAUGAUAAUAUUUUCAAUAAUGGAGUGAUGAGGUAGAUGAAUUGGUGCAUAAUAUUUUGGUGCUUUCGUGGUAUUUGAGCAUGAGUUGGUUAGCAAUUGCCUCAUGUUUGUUCUAUGUGUGGUGUUAGAAUCCUCGGGAUUGUUUAGCUAGGUAGGAGGGAGGGUGGCUGGCUGACUAUUGGCACUUACGAUAGUUUUUUUCGGGUGCUGUUAUGAUGUAACUGCUGCCCUGUUCACAGCUGCAGAUGCCUUUACUGCUUUUGGGUGGUUUUUUUGUCUUUGCUAGCUGUCUGUUGUUCUUGUUAUUCAGGUGGUUUAGCUUUCUAUGUAUAGCUUAAAAGACUGCUUGUGGGUUAAUGAAAGUAAAGACAACCUCAUCAUAACCAAGUACAUGUUCUCAUGCAAAAAUUUAUUUGUUUUUUAUCGUCUAUAAUUGUUUUUCUCUUCAACAUAAUUAAGAAACUUAUUGUUAUAACGUAUAGACUCUGUAGAGUGAUUGCGAAUUACAUGAUUCUGAAACCAGUUGUAACAAGCACCUUGUUGAUGUACCAUUCUCCUCCAUUGGCAAGUUCCACUAAUAGUAGUUGAAGGCACCUAUUUGGUUUAUCAUAAUCUAUAAGUGAUAGUAUUGUUGGUAUUUUCUUGGUCCAAUGUAAAAAGACUGUUCGUUUGUAGUCAUAGAUGGUCUUCUGAAAACCGGUGCAAUAAAAAACACUAUAUUACGCAAAUACAACCAUUGACAACAUGCUGCUGCAUAUGAUGUGCCUGUGUACACAAAAUAGUUUGAUACUUGUGAAAGCUAAUAAUGAUUUGGUACAUUUCACCUCUUAUUCUAAAUCCUAUUGAUUGAAUCAUGAAACUUAUUUUAGUUUAAAAAAUGAAGAUGGAUGACACAUUCAAAGGCAUAACAUCUACCAGACAUGCUCACGCUUGUUGCUUAUAAUGGUAAGAUUUACCCUCUGCAGCAACUAUGGUUUACUAAUGUAAGAUUUACCUUGUGCAACAACCAUGGUUACAUGAAUAGUUGGUUCCUAGAUGAUUGUUUUAAGAUGUAAUUGUGUUAGCUGUGGGGAGUUUCUACUGGAUCUCCUGGCUAUGUUCUUAGCUUUCUGUUUGGUCUUGGACGUUACGCGUAUGGGCGGCGCUUUUGUAUUGUUCUCAAUGCUAGCUUUUGCACGUCUUGUGCAGGCUUGGUAUCUAAUAAAUUUGUUGAUUUACACAAAAA